RNAcentral lists this ribosomal RNA (494 nucleotides) under uncultured bacterium. Its description in RNAcentral is "partial 16S ribosomal RNA". It matches the Rfam family "Bacterial small subunit ribosomal RNA", at positions 28 to 507 of the family's 1533-position model. The record is from RNAcentral.
GACGAACGCUGGCGGCGUGCCUAAUACAUGCAAGUAGAACGCUGAAGGAGGAGCUUGCUUCUCUGGAUGAGUUGCGAACGGGUGAGUAACGCGUAGGUAACCUGCCUGGUAGCGGGGGGUAACUAUUGGAAACGAUAGCUAAUACCGCAUAAUAGUAGAUGUUGCAUGACAUUUACUGAAAAGGUGCAAUUGCAUCACUACAAGAUGGACCUGCGUUGUAUUAGCUAGUUGGUGGGGUAACGGCUCACCAAGGCGACGAUACAUAGCUGACCUGAGAGGGUGAUCAGCCACACUGGAACUGAGACACGGCCCAGACUCCUACGGGAGGCAGCAGUGGGGAAUAUUGGGCAAUGGGCGAAAGCCUGACCCAGCAAUCCCGCGUGGGUGAAGAAGGUCUUCGGGUUGUAAAGCCCUUUUGUUGGGAAAGAAAAGCAGGAGGUUUAGAAACUGCUGCUCUGACGGUAACCAAACAAAAAGCGGCGGCUAACUUCGUG